Molecule: ribosomal RNA, 460 nt
Filed under: uncultured bacterium
Lineage: Bacteria
Description: partial 16S ribosomal RNA
Rfam family: Bacterial small subunit ribosomal RNA
Source: RNAcentral
CCUACGGGAGGCAGCAGUGAGGAAUAUUGGUCAAUGGACGAGAGUCUGAACCAGCCAAGUAGCGUGAAGGAUGACUGCCCUAUGGGUUGUAAACUUCUUUUAUAUGGGAAUAAAACGUUCCACGUGUGGGAUUUUGUAUGUACCAUAUGACUAAGGAUCGGCUAACUCCGUGCCAGCAGCCGCGGUAAUACGGAGGAUCCGAGAGUUAUCCGGAUUUAUUGGGUUUAAAGGGAGCGUAGGUGGAUUGUUAAGUCAGUUGUGAAAGUUUGCGGCUCAACCGUAAAAUUGCAGUUGAAACUGGCAGUCUUGAGUACAGUAGAGGUGGGCGGAAUUCGUGGUGUAGCGGUGAAAUGCUUAGAUAUCACGAAGAACUCCGAUUGCGAAGGCAGUUCACUGGACUGCAACUGACACUGAGGCUCGAAAGUGUGGGUAUCAAACAGGAUUAGAUACCCGUGUAGUC